GUGACUGCGUACCUUUUGUAUAAUGGGUCAGCGACUUAUAUUCUGUAGCAAGGUUAACCGAAUAGGGGAGCCGAAGGGAAACCGAGUCUUAACUGGGCGUUAAGUUGCAGGGUAUAGACCCGAAACCCGGUGAUCUAGCCAUGGGCAGGUUGAAGGUUGGGUAACACUAACUGGAGGACCGAACCGACUAAUGUUGAAAAAUUAGCGGAUGACUUGUGGCUGGGGGUGAAAGGCCAAUCAAACCGGGAGAUAGCUGGUUCUCCCCGAAAGCUAUUUAGGUAGCGCCUCGUGAAUUCAUCUCCGGGGGUAGAGCACUGUUUCGGCAAGGGGGUCAUCCCGACUUACCAACCCGAUGCAAACUGCGAAUACCGGAGAAUGUUAUCACGGGAGACACACGGCGGGUGCUAACGUCCGUCGUGAAGAGGGAAACAACCCAGACCGCCAGCUAAGGUCCCAAAGUCAUGGUUAAGUGGGAAACGAUGUGGGAAGGCCCAGACAGCCAGGAUGUUGGCUUAGAAGCAGCCAUCAUUUAAAGAAAGCGUAAUAGCUCACUGGUCGAGUCGGCCUGCGCGGAAGAUGUAACGGGGCUAAACCAUGCACCGAAGCUGCGGCAGCGACGCUUAUGCGUUGUUGGGUAGGGGAGCGUUCUGUAAGCCUG
This 658-nucleotide ribosomal RNA is filed under the name Escherichia coli. RNAcentral's name for it is "bacterial LSU rRNA". It matches the Rfam family "Bacterial large subunit ribosomal RNA", at positions 593 to 1251 of the family's 2925-position model. Lineage: Bacteria; Pseudomonadati; Pseudomonadota; Gammaproteobacteria; Enterobacterales; Enterobacteriaceae. The record is from RNAcentral.